GACGAACGCUGGCGGCAUGCCUUACACAUGCAAGUCGAACGGCAGCACGGGAGCAAUCCUGGUGGCGAGUGGCGAACGGGUGAGUAAUAUAUCGGAACGUGCCCAGUCGUAGGGGAUAACGUAGCGAAAGCUACGCUAAUACCGCAUACGAUCUAUGGAUGAAAGCGGGGGAUCGCAAGACCUCGCGCGAUUGGAGCGGCCGAUAUCAGAUUAGGUAGUUGGUGAGGUAAAGGCUCACCAAGCCGACGAUCUGUAGCUGGACUGAGAGGACGACCAGCCACACGGGGACUGAGACACGGCCCAGACUCCUACGGGAGGCAGCAGUGGGGAAUUUUGGACAAUGGGCGCAAGCCUGAUCCAGCAAUGCCGCGUGCGGGAUGAAGGCCUUCGGGUUGUAAACUGCUUUUGUACGGAACGAAACGGCGAGCUCUAAUACAGCUUGCUAAUGACGGUACCGUAAGAAUAAGCACCGGCUAACUACGUGCCAGCCGCCGCAGUAA
RNAcentral lists this ribosomal RNA (500 nucleotides) under uncultured bacterium. RNAcentral's name for it is "partial 16S ribosomal RNA". It matches the Rfam family "Bacterial small subunit ribosomal RNA", at positions 28 to 523 of the family's 1533-position model. The record is from RNAcentral.